CCUACGGGCGGCAGCAGUGAGGAAUAUUGGUCAAUGGGCGCGAGCCUGAACCAGCCAAGUAGCGUGAAGGAAGACUGCCCUACGGAUUGUAAACUUCUUUUAUCAAGGAGUAAAGUGAGGCACGUGUGCCGUUUUGUAUGUACUUUAUGAAUAAGGAUCGGCUAACUCCGUGCCAGCAGCCGCGGUAAUACGGAGGAUCCGAGCGUUAUCCGGAUUUAUUGGGUUUAAAGGGAGCGUAGAUGGGUUGUUAAGUCAGUUGUGAAAUUUUGGGGGUAAACCUUAAAAGUGCAGUUGAUACUGGCUGUCUUGAGUGAAGGUGAAGUAGGCGGAAUGCGUGGUGUAGCGGUGAAAUGCUUAGAUAUCACGCAGAACCCCGAUUGCGAAGGCAGCAUACU
RNAcentral lists this ribosomal RNA (395 nucleotides) under uncultured bacterium. Its description in RNAcentral is "partial 16S ribosomal RNA". It matches the Rfam family "Bacterial small subunit ribosomal RNA", at positions 338 to 730 of the family's 1533-position model. The record is from RNAcentral.